This 832-nucleotide long non-coding RNA is filed under the name Macaca fascicularis (crab-eating macaque). RNAcentral describes it as "lncRNA (ENSMFAG00000046659.2)". The record is from RNAcentral. Lineage: Eukaryota; Metazoa; Chordata; Mammalia; Primates; Cercopithecidae.
UUCCCCAGGCCAGGAAGCGGUAGGCAGGGGCCAGGGAUGGAUUUUAAAGGUAAAGUUCUCAGACCCAAUGGGAACAUGAACUGGUAAACUCUCCUCAACUCCCAAAGAAAAAGGACUUGGGUCUUUGUUGGUUUCUGCCCACAGCCAGAGAACUCAAAGUCUGAAACUAGAUUCUCUCGAAAAGACAGUCACAGAAACCUUCAGAGAUGGAGUGUGAGAAAAGCCCACCCUUCUGCCAGCCUGUGAUUUAGAAAGGUGCCUUCAUUCAACAGACAUUGACUGAGCACAUACGGGCCAGAGACGGUUCUUAACAGCGGGAGAAUAGGACGGAAAAGGCAGACAGGAACCCUCAGUCCCGAGGUUUCCAUUCUAGUGGGCCUUUAACUCUCCGACUCUCAGAGCUAACAGACACCUCUGAUACUCUCUAACUCUACCUCAGGAAACGCAAGCCGAGAAGGAGACUUUACAGUAGGCCGUGGACUAGGGAUUAACAUAAAAACAACAAUGAUAAAUCUCAUUUAAACUUCACCAAUGGAGGUAAAACCAAACCACUCCUAUUUUACAGAUGUGAGAAGAGAGGCCCAAAGAGCUCAAGGAAUUUGCCCUCUAUCAUAUCCCCAGCAGAUGGAGAGGAUUCAAACCCAGAAUUCUUAAGCAGUGCCUGGGAGUUCUUCCACAAUCUUAACAAUUACCCUCCACCACCCCUUGGGCCCUCUGUCCCCAGGAGCCUGGCCAGCCAAGACUCACAUCCUCAGGCCUGAGAACCGGGAGGACGCUGGAGAAAAGCUGCCCUGUGAAUCUUUCUUUGGCUGUCCAGGCUCCCCUUGACUCC